RNAcentral lists this ribosomal RNA (840 nucleotides) under uncultured bacterium. RNAcentral describes it as "bacterial SSU rRNA". It matches the Rfam family "Bacterial small subunit ribosomal RNA", at positions 673 to 1533 of the family's 1533-position model. The record is from RNAcentral.
AUCUAACGGGGAAUGGUCCAUAUCCGGAAGAACACCGCUGGUUAGCCGGUUCUCUGGACCCUAACUAACGCUUAGACACGAAAGGCGGGGUAGCAACCAGAAUAGAUCCCCUGGUAGUCCACGCCCUAAACGAUGCAUAUUGGUGUGGGCAGUUCAUUUGGUCCGUGCCGGAGCUAACGCGUUAAAUAUGCCGCCUGGGGAGUACAGUCGCAAGGCUGAAACUCAAAGGAAUUGACGGGGGCCCGCACAAGCGGUGGAGCAUGUGGUUCAAUUCGACGCAACGCGAAGAACCUUACCUGGGCUCGAACGGCUGGUCAACGGAGGUGGAAACAUCUNUACCCCGCAAGGGGGUCCAGUCGAGGUGCUGCAUGGCUGUCGUCAGCUCGUGUCGUGAGAUGUUGGGUUAAGUCCCGCAACGAGCGCAACCCUUGUCCUGUGUUGCCAUCAUUCAGUUGGGAACUCGCAGGAGACCGCCAGCGAUAAGCUGGAGGAAGGUGGGGAUGACGUCAAGUCCUCAUGGCCUUUAUGUCCAGGGCUACACACGUGCUACAAUGGGCGGUACAAAGCGCCGCGAACCCGCGAGGGGGAGCCAAUCGCAAAAAACCGCUCUCAGUUCGGAUUGCAGGCUGCAACUCGCCUGCAUGAAGCUGGAAUCGCUAGUAAUGGCAGAUCAGCACGCUGCCGUGAAUACGUUCCCGGGCCUUGUACACACCGCCCGUCACAUCACGAAAGUGGAUUGUACUAGAAGUCUGCAGGCUGACCCGCAAGGGGGGCAGCGGCCCAAGGUAUGAUCCAUGAUUGGGGUGAAGUCGUAACAAGGUAAAUCGAAUUCCCGCGGCC